RNAcentral lists this unclassified non-coding RNA (336 nucleotides) under soil metagenome. RNAcentral describes it as "partial contains 5.8S ribosomal RNA, internal transcribed spacer 2, and large subunit ribosomal RNA". The stretch from base 1 to 120 matches the Rfam family "5.8S ribosomal RNA", at positions 35 to 154 of the family's 154-position model. The record is from RNAcentral.
GAUGAAGAACGUAGCGAAAUGCGAUAAGUAAUGUGAAUUGCAGAAUUCAGUGAAUCAUCGAAUCUUUGAACGCACAUUGCGCCCGCCAGUAUUCUGGCGGGCAUGCCUGUUCGAGCGUCAUUUCAACCAUCAAGCCCCCGGCUUGUGUUGGGGACCUGCGGCUGCCGCAGGCCCUGAAAACCAGUGGUGGGCUCGCUGUCACACCGAGCGUAGUAGAUUUUCAUCUCGCUCAGGGCGUGCUGCGGGUUCCGGCCGUAAAAAGCCUUAUUUACCCAAGGUUGACCUCGGAUCAGGUAGGAAGACCCGCUGAACUUAAGCAUAUCAAUAAGCGGAGGA